CUUUUAGGGUGUGUUUCUUGUGUAUGCAGGAAACAAUACAUACUAGGAGCAGGAAAACCCAACAACCGUUGUUAGAAGGUCUACCAUACGAGAGGAGAAAGAGACGUUCCUCACGUGAGAGAUCUCUUUCUCCAGAAGCUACUUCGCAUUCUUCACUUUUGACUUGUGCACCAGAGCUUGAGGAGAUGGCCAACCAACCUCCUUCUAGACGCACUUUGGGGGACGCAGCUAAUACAGUUGGCCCCUUGAACUUUAACAACAUUGCAGUUCCAGCAGACAAUACAACCAGCAUGGUGAUGAGUUCGGCG
Molecule: long non-coding RNA, 308 nt
Filed under: Vigna radiata
Lineage: Eukaryota; Viridiplantae; Streptophyta; Magnoliopsida; Fabales; Fabaceae
Description: long non-coding RNA (VRAD_LNC014325)
Source: RNAcentral